GACGAACGCUGGCGGCGUGCUUAACACAUGCAAGUCGAGCGGUAAGGCCCUUCGGGGUACACGAGCGGCGAACGGGUGAGUAACACGUGGGUGAUCUGCCUUGCACUCUGGGAUAAGCCUGGGAAACUGGGUCUAAUACCGGAUAUGACCUUCGGUUGCAUGACCGGGGGUGGAAAGAUUUAUCGGUGCAAGAUGAGCCCGCGGCCUAUCAGCUUGUUGGUGGGGUAAUGGCCUACCAAGGCGACGACGGGUAGCCGGCCUGAGAGGGCGACCGGCCACACUGGGACUGAGACACGGCCCAGACUCCUACGGGAGGCAGCAGUGGGGAAUAUUGCACAAUGGGCGGAAGCCUGAUGCAGCGACGCCGCGUGAGGGAUGACGGCCUUCGGGUUGUAAACCUCUUUCGACUCCGACGAAGCGAGAGUGACGGUAGGAGUAUAAGAAGCACCGGCCAACUACGUG
RNAcentral lists this ribosomal RNA (462 nucleotides) under Nocardia testacea. Its description in RNAcentral is "bacterial SSU rRNA". It matches the Rfam family "Bacterial small subunit ribosomal RNA", at positions 28 to 507 of the family's 1533-position model. The record is from RNAcentral. RNAcentral also lists the same sequence under 3 other names. Lineage: Bacteria; Bacillati; Actinomycetota; Actinomycetes; Mycobacteriales; Nocardiaceae.